RNAcentral lists this ribosomal RNA (483 nucleotides) under uncultured bacterium. RNAcentral's name for it is "partial 16S ribosomal RNA". It matches the Rfam family "Bacterial small subunit ribosomal RNA", at positions 28 to 507 of the family's 1533-position model. The record is from RNAcentral.
GACGAACGCUGGCGGCGUGCUUAACACAUGCAAGUCGAACGCUGAAGCUCAGCUUUUGUUGGGUGGAUGAGUGGCGAACGGGUGAGUAACACGUGAGUAACCUGCCUCCUUCUUUGGGAUAACGCCCGGAAACGGGUGCUAAUACUGGAUAUUCACUGGUCUUCGCAUGGGGGUUGGUGGAAAGGGUUUUUCUGGUGGGGGAUGGGCUCGCGGCCUAUCAGCUUGUUGGUGGGGUGAUGGCCUACCAAGGCUUUGACGGGUAGCCGGCCUGAGAGGGUGACCGGUAACAUGGGGACUGAGAUACGGACCAGACUACUACGGGAGGCAGCAGUGGGGAAAAUGGCACAAUGGGCGCAAGCCUGAUGCAGCGACGCCGCGUGAGGGAUGGAGGCCGUCAGGUUGGGAACCUCUUUCGCUCAUGGUCAAGCCGCAACAAUGGUUGUGGUGAGGGUAGUGGGUAAAGAAGCGCCGGCUAACUACGUG